UUUAAAUUGUGCUAUAGCUCGUUUGUGAUCAAUACUACCAACCUUUCAAGCUUGAAAGACUUAUGUCGCCCAGCAGAUUGACUUGUUCAGUUCGUGAUCCCCACUUCACUCCUAUUUCAUUCCUUUCGACUCGCAUGAAAUAAAUCUUUUUUUCUCAACUAAACCACCUAUUAUGAUAUUGAUUUGCUUUUAUUUUCUUAGAAAA
RNAcentral lists this long non-coding RNA (205 nucleotides) under Capsicum annuum. RNAcentral's name for it is "long non-coding RNA (CANN_LNC001526)". The record is from RNAcentral. Lineage: Eukaryota; Viridiplantae; Streptophyta; Magnoliopsida; Solanales; Solanaceae.